Non-coding RNA from Aspergillus versicolor CBS 583.65, 127 nucleotides. Lineage: Eukaryota; Fungi; Ascomycota; Eurotiomycetes; Eurotiales; Aspergillaceae. The record is from the annotation of a RefSeq genome assembly.
AGCAUGUUAGCUCAGGGGAAGAGCGGUAUUUCUACCACGUGACCCUAUAUUCGAUUGAUUAAAUAACUAACAUGAUAUAGCCGGGCUCAUAACCCGGAGGACCCUGGAUCGAAACCAGGACAUGCUA